CCCCUAGAUGUUCUGGGCCGCACGCGCGCUACACUGAACAGUUCAACAAGUCUUAACCUUGGCCGAUAGGUCUGGGUAAUCUUUGAACGCUGUUCGUGAUUGGGAUAGACCUUUGCAAUUAUGGGUCUUCAACGAGGAAUUCCUAGUAAACGCAAGUCAUCAGCUUGCAUUGAUUACGUCCCUGCCCUUUGUACACACCGCCCGUCGCACCUACCGAUUGAAUGGUCCGGUGAAUAAUUCGGACUGCAGCAGUGUUCAGUUCCUGAACGUUGCAGCGGAAAGUUUAGUGAACCUUAUCACUUAGAGGAAGGAGAANUCGUAACA
Molecule: ribosomal RNA, 324 nt
Filed under: uncultured eukaryote
Lineage: Eukaryota
Description: partial 18S ribosomal RNA
Rfam family: Eukaryotic small subunit ribosomal RNA
Source: RNAcentral